Molecule: non-coding RNA, 488 nt
Organism: Oryzias latipes (Japanese medaka)
Lineage: Eukaryota; Metazoa; Chordata; Actinopteri; Beloniformes; Adrianichthyidae
Source: RefSeq, a predicted model, not a curated record
ACGAUCUGCUGCAAUGAAAACCGAGCAUCAAUAUGGGGAACAAAGGGGAUUGAAGAGACUGCCCUGCAGGUGUAGCUGAAAGAUGCACUCAUGGUCUGUAUGCAGGGCAUGAAGGAUUUGGAAUAAAAAUGAACCUUUCUGCUAUGUUUGCAAGAGAAAUAAUUGAACAUGUUGUACUUUUUUUUUAUCUUUACAGCAAGGUUUGAGAAAACACAUUUUUGCAUGCCGGGUUGCGACUUUAAAAGCUACCAUAGAAGGGGCUCAAGGGAAUCACCUGCGCUCCUCUUGAGAUGUUGCCGCUCCUGUCUAUGACCCUCCAACAAAAACCGGCAGCAUGUGAACUACAGAUGAAACCCUUUUGGUGGAUCAGAAAGUUCAAUCGAACCCCAAUGAAGACCAAACAAAACAAGAACUCCAUGGCGAAGCGACUGGGCACGGUUGGAUUCCACUGUGAAGCUCAGCAUGGUGGCGUUCCCCCCCGUGAUGCA